ACGAACGCUGGCGGCAUGCCUAACACAUGCAAGUCGCACGCGACCUUCGGGUCUAGUGGCGCACGGGUGCGUAACGCGUGGGAACCUGCCCUUAGGUUCGGAAUAACUCCCCGAAAGGGGUGCUAAUACCGGAUAAUGUCUUCGGACCAAAGAUUUAUCGCCUUUGGAUGGGCCCGCGUUGGAUUAGCUAGUUGGUAGGGUAAAAGCCUACCAAGGCGACGAUCCAUAGCUGGUCUGAGAGGAUGAUCAGCCACGCUGGGACUGAGACACGGCCCAGACUCCUACGGGAGGCAGCAGUGGGGAAUAUUGGACAAUGGGCGAAAGCCUGAUCCAGCAAUGCCGCGUGAGUGAUGAAGGCCUUAGGGUUGUAAAGCUCUUUUACCCGGGAUGAUAAUGACAGUACCGGGAGAAUAAGCUCCGGCUAACUCCGUG
RNAcentral lists this ribosomal RNA (432 nucleotides) under uncultured bacterium. RNAcentral's name for it is "partial 16S ribosomal RNA". It matches the Rfam family "Bacterial small subunit ribosomal RNA", at positions 29 to 507 of the family's 1533-position model. The record is from RNAcentral.